This 253-nucleotide ribosomal RNA is filed under the name uncultured bacterium. RNAcentral describes it as "partial 16S ribosomal RNA". It matches the Rfam family "Bacterial small subunit ribosomal RNA", at positions 524 to 776 of the family's 1533-position model. The record is from RNAcentral.
UACGGGGGGGGCAAGCGUUGUUCGGAAUUACUGGGCGUAAAGGGCUCGUAGGUGGCCAACUAAGUCAGACGUGAAAUCCCCAGGCUCAACUUGGGAACUGCGUCUGAUACUGGAUGGCUUGAAUUCGGGAGAGGGAUGCAGAAUUCCAGGUGUAGCGGUGAAAUGCGUAGAUAUCUGGAGGAAUACCGGUGGCGAAGGCGGCAUCCUGGACCGACAUUGACGCUGAGGAGCGAAAGCCAGGGGAGCAAACGGG